GACCGGGAUAACCCUGGGAAACUGGGGCUAAUACUGGAUAGGCAAUUAUUCCUGCAAUGGUUUUUUGUUUAAAUGUUUUUUCGCCUAAGGAUGGGUCUGCGGCCGAUUAGGUAGUUGGUUAGGUAAUGGCUUACCAAGCCGUUGAUCGGUACGGGUUGUGAGAGCAAGAGCCCGGAGAUGGAACCUGAGACAAGGUUCCAGGCCCUACGGGGUGCAGCAGGCGCGAAACCUCCGCAAUGUGAGAAAUCGCGACGGGGGGAUCCCAAGUGCCAUUCUUAACGGGAUGGCUUUUCAUUAGUGUAAAGAGCUUUUGGAAUAAGAGCUGGGCAAGACCGGUGCCAGCCGCCGCGGUAACACCGGCAGCUCUAGUGGUAACAAUUUUUAUUGGGCCUAAAGCGCCCGUAGCCGGUUUAAUAAGUCUCUGGUGAAAUCCUGUAGCUUAACUGUGGGAAUUGCUGGAGAUACUAUUAGACUUGAGACCGGGAGAGGUUAGAGGUACUCCCAGGGUAGAGGUGAAAUUCUGUAAUCCUGGGAGGACCGCCUGUUGCGAAGGCGUCUAACAGGAACGGUUCUGACGGUGAGGGACGAAAGUUAGGGGCGCGAACCGGAUUAGAUACCCGGGUAGUCCUAACUGUAAACGAUGCGGACUUGGUGUUGGGGUGGCUUUGAGCUGCUCCAGUGCCGAAGGGAAGCUGUUAAGUCCGCCGCCUGGGAAGUACGGUCGCAAGACUGAAACUUAA
Molecule: ribosomal RNA, 740 nt
Filed under: uncultured archaeon
Lineage: Archaea
Description: bacterial SSU rRNA
Rfam family: Archaeal small subunit ribosomal RNA
Source: RNAcentral